AGAUCACUAUCCGCCGUUUCAUCAAAAACAACCCCCCCGAUUCCUGAUCUCCUUCAAGAAAAAAGAAGAAGCAAACAGAAACAAGCCUAGGAGACCUAAGAUAGAGACAGAAUCCAUCGUUGUUGACCAUAAUACACGGACCCCUCCCAUGUCAUUCAUCUUCUUCAGCAGCCAUUAACAAGAGAGAAGCCAACCAUCUUCUCCACACCCAUCACCUAUACACACACCAGCCACCUCCGCCAGCCACUCUACUCACCGGAAAAAGACCAGCUCCUAGCCGUCACCGACCACCCCAAGACCAUCGUCCCUCUCCACACAUAAAUGCCCAGCAGCAGACGCCCAUCUCUACUCCUUCUUCCUCCACGAAAAUCAGUUCAAAGGUCCCCUAGACCCAGCCAAAAUAACCUCCAAAGCCCAGACGAAAAUCAGUACCAAGCAGUCCCAAAAACCACUAUCAAAACCCGGUUGAGGUUCGAGUUCCGUGCAGAGGUCGUCGGAUUAUCCUGAUAUUGUUUCCCAUUGUACUGAUGGACCGUAUGCGAUUGUGUUCGAUUCGAAGAAGGAGCUUCAUCAUUAUCUCUGUGAUCAUUCUUUUCUGAUUGAUGUUGAAACUAAGGUAAUUUAUUGCCUAUAUGAUGGAUUAUCUGAUAUGUAUUUGUUUUUUUUUUGGUUUAUGAUAGUGUUAUCUACUAUGUUUCUUUAUUUUGAUUUUGUUGGAAAUGAUAUUUCUAAUCUCGAGUUUUGUUCCUUGUUUGAGAAGUCGAAACAUGUGAAUUUCUUUGUAUGGAAUAUUCCCGAUGAAGUGUAGCAGUGUGCUAUUGCUUUCUUUCAUAAGAAUCAUGUAAACAAGAAUUUUAGUGCUAGAGUAUUUAUUUUGUUUAGGGGUUUGAUUUUAUUAUAAUUUUUGUUAAUUCAAUGUAUGCCAAUAACUAGAACUUCUAGUUCGUUUACCUUUUCAAUUCCUCGGGAUUGCUCUAAAUUUUUUCAUUAAUUUGCUUCUUUUUUUGUUCUGUUAUUUGACAUGAAGAUACAUUAGAAAGAUGUGAUUUUGUUUGCGUGAUAUGAUUACGGUAUCUAAAAUAAAUAUUCGUAGAAAAGCCUUUAGGCGCGUUUAAAAUGCAAUUGUGAUGGUGUACACGUUCGCGUGAUAUAAUCACGAUUCUAAAACCAAAUCGGAGUAUGCGUUCGCGCAACUUUGACCAAACUUUCUUAAUAAUGAAAGUGUUAUUAAUAGACCAUUAAUUUAAUUUAGUUCAUAUAGUUCGAGGCGUGCCAUCCACAAUUUAAUAAUUCAUGGCCCUCGUAUUAAUCUUAUGACUUAGAUAUAAAAAUGACAAGUGUUCGUAGUUGCUUUAGGCCCGUUUAAUGUAUCGUUGUGAUUGUGGACACGUUCGCGUGACAUGUUACGAUUUCUAAAAAAACAAAACCAGAGUAUGCAUUUGCACAACUUCGGCCAAAUUUUCCUAAUAUUAAUAAAGCGUUAUUAAUUGUGGACAUGUUUGCGUGACAUAAUUUUUGACGCACCAAACAAAUGGGUACAUGUGUGCGUGACCUGUUUAAAGAUAAUUUCUUAAUUAAAAGGAGGGGAUGCACAUAGGUUCUAAAAUGAUUAGUUAAACAACUUAAUAAGCCAAAUAUGAUCAAAGCAACCGUGCUAAAACCACGAAACCCAGGAAUGCCUAACACCUUCUCCCGGGUUAACAGAAUUUCUUACCUGGAUUUCUGUAUUUGUAGAACGUAAAUAAGAAUUAAUUUCCUCGAUUCGGGAUUUUAAACCGGUGACUUGGGACACCAUAAGUUAUCCCAAGUGGCGACUCUGAAUUUUAAAUAAAAUAAUCAUGUUUCGAUUGUCACUUAAAUUGGAAAAAACUCCCUUACUCCCUCUCGGGGGUAGGAAAAAGGAGGUGUGAUAGUGGACGAUUGGGAUUAUCUGGGAGAUGAGGGUUGAUAUGUGGGUGGUGGUUCUUGGUACGUGGGUGGAGGUAUUUGAUAUGUAGGUGGAGGUGUUUGAUAUGUAAGUGGAGAUUUUGGGACUUGAGCCACCAUUACUGCCCCAACAUCUCUCUUAUUUGAUAUACCGCCUGAUUGUAAUGCCUUGUUUGUGGCUUGUAAUGCCUCAAAGUUUGUUAUCAUCGCACUCUUGAUGCCUUCUUUGAUUCUUUCCCCAUGUUUGAUGAUAUCAGAGAAUUUAUGAUUUUCAAUAACCAUCAACCUUUCAUAAUAUUGUGGAUCAUGUGCUCUGACGAAGAACUUGUUCAUCUGUUCCUCAUCCAAAGAUGGUCUGACCUUGGCUGCUUCUGACCUCCAACGGGUGGCAUACUCGCGGAAAGUGUCGGUGGGAUUCUUCUUAAGGUUUUGAAUGUAGAAAACAUCUAGUGCAUUUUCUGUGUUGAACCUGAAUCGGUCCAUGAAAUCAGACGCCAUACUCACCCAGUUGGACCAUUUCUUAGGAUCCUGGCUGAUGUACUAGGACAAAGCAUCUCCCGUAAGACUUCUCAGAAAGAGUUUCAUUCGGAUCCUUUCAUCCUUUCCGACCCCAACAAGCUUGUCAUAAUAGGUCCUCAGAUGAACCCUAAGAUCACCUGUACCGUCAAACAUCUCGAACUUAGUAGGUUUGUAUCCCUCUGGAAGUUCUACAUCUGGCUGUAUGCAUAGGUCUUCAUAAUUCAAACCUUCUAUCCCUUUACCUCCUUCGACACCCUGAACUCUACUUGUCAACUUCUUGAGUUCCUCAGCCAUGUUCUUGAUGAGCAGGUCCUUCUCAGCGGAUUCUGGUGUAUAGGAAGUUAGUUGGAUAGAGUGAGGUAUGGUUUCCAUGUAUAUAAGGUUGUUUUAGUGAGUUCCAGAUGCCUGAGUGUAGUGGUGGUCAUUGGUUAAGUUUUGAGGAUCAGGAAUGGGUUGUGGUGUGUUUUGGGGAGUGUGAUAAAUGGCGGUUGGUGGGUAUUGGAUUGGUUGAUGGUGGUGUUAUGGUGGAGUUGGUAUCGGUAAGGGAUUGAGAUUUUGAGGUGGGGUUGCGUAUUGAUGCGGUGCAGGAGGGUUUUAUGGAUGUUGGUUUGGUGUGUUUUGGGGAGGUGCUGGGUUCUUUGUGUUUUGAUGGUUGAUGUCGUGGACAUUCAGGGUGAGGGAUAGGUUUGCCAAGUUGUGGACCUGCUCAAGAUCUCCCUGUAACUCUAGUAUCUUUUGUUACAACCUCAAGACUAGUCAUUUGGUGCCGGAGUACUCCGACCGUCUGAAGUUUCUGCAUUUUCCACAUUCUCCUUUCGAAUACCACUUAAGUCAUCCAUUUUAGCUUUCCCUUUGCUCUUUGUGUUGCUUGGAGGAGGAGGAGGUGGAGAACCUCUAGAUUUGGUGUGAUACGCCGAUGAUGCCAGUAUGAGCGAACCAACCUUAGGGUAUGGGAAUAAAGAAUAAUGAAAAACAAAAUGUAAACAAGUCAGUAAGGGUUCUGAAACGUUUGCAGUAUUUAAACACAUUUUGCAUGAAUGUAAAUUCGCAUCCUAAUUUGGGAACCUCGUUGUGCCCGAGGUAGGCCUAGAGACAAAUAAAUUUGGAGAAUUUUAGUGCCAAUAACUGCCUCAUUUCAUUAAUGUAAAAAUAAACGACCCAAAACAAAACUAAAUAAGAUAAUGUUGCUAGUGGCACUUGGCCUUAUUACAUUCAAAAGUAAAGCAAGUAAAUCUAAUCUACUUGGUCCCAGAAGGACCCUCUCCAGACCGGAUGCUGUUGUCGAUCAAAUCUCCUAGCUCGUGCAGGUUCAGCAGUAGGAAUGUCCUUGCCAGAUGCCCUUCUUCAUUUUUUCAGUGUUUUGACAAUCGGUGACCCUCUAUCUUAUCUUUCCCUCUAAUUUUAUCAAAUUGUACUCCAGAUAUUCCAACCUCUCCCUGGAUUUAACAGCUUUUUCUUUCCACUCGUUAAUCAUCUCUAUGUCAGCCUUAUGAUGCGCCAUAUGCUCGGCAUCAGACUCUCAAACUCUUUUCCGCAGCCUGUUGUACUUCACCUCUGCUUCGGUGAAUUCAUCUAUGAACCUGUUUCUUGGGCCAACUCUUGGCUCAAAGACUCCUAACAGAUUAUCAUCCAACCACGAGGGGUAAAAGAAUGAGUGGCCUACAUGGUAUCUGUCCGGCUCAAUAGUAUCAUUCUCCACAAUAAUCUUCAAAGUCCAAAUAUGUUGCGCUUCAUUAUUAUAUGGGAUGGCAUCACCAUGGAAAUCGGCUCUGAAGUGGCUCAUCUUAGCAACCCGUGGUAUGACUUGUCUCCUGCCUGCCUGUCUCGUAACUCUAAGUGGAGCAUAAAUAUAUAUCCCUCUUAACCCGAUCAACACCAAAUGCGGGACAUCUCUAGAUAUUAUGUUGAACUCGUCAGUGGGGAACCACUCGAACAUCCACUGAACCUGGUCUUCAGUCAUCUUGUUGAAAAACUGCACCCAUCCUACAACAUCCUUAGGUUGAUCGAACAUGUCCGGAAUGUAGGUCAUUCACUUAGGGUGAUGGAAGGUUAUGUGAUCAUUCCACGGUCUUCAUGGAAACUCUUGGCGAUAUUGGCCCCUUUGGAGAUGUUCUAACAUCCACACUUGUAACAGCAAGUUGCAGCCCUCAAAGAAUCCGAACCCCUUUUGACAGCGUUCUACGGCAUGGUAUAUGUCUGCAACGAUCAUAGGGAUAAUAGUAUAUGUCUGCCCCUCUAUCCCGUCCAUUAGAGUUUUGGCCACCAUAGACAACCUAGUAUGGAUUCUAUCCCCUUGGAUUGGGAAUACCAGCAUGCCCAAGAAGCACACAAUGAACACGAAGACCCUACGAUAGACCCAGCCCAAAGAAGUGGUUGAGAACUCAUCAUCAAAAAUACGGUAAGAGUUGUUGUGACCGUAUCUUUCAUGAAGGAAAUCAAAAGGUAUGUAGGAGUUUUUCAGGCACUCCAAAUCAUCAUUUUUCUUCAGCCCCAUCAUCUUAAGCAACCUUCAAGUGGUGCAAUUUUCAGGUGCUAGCAGGACAGGGCUAUCCCAAGGCAACCCAGCAAAUCCCCCUAUUUCUUCUAGAAGGGGAGUUAUUUCUAUGUCUCCAAAACGGAACACAACCCUUUCCUUAUCCCAAAAUAGAGUGGCAGCCUCGAUUAGCAUCUUGUUUGGUUGAAGAUCCAAUAGUGAUAGUAAAUUACUCAAGACUCUUUUCACAUGAUUUUGGUCACUUGAGGGAAGAUCUCUCCACCAAUCUAUCAAAAGUGGAGGAAUACUACCGACCAUACCGAAUCUAGGGACUUCGUGCCUCAUUUUCUACAAAACAAGAGAGAGUUAGGUCAUUUCCCCCUCUAGGUUCAUCUAUUUAUACAGUAAUGAUUAGCAAAUUGGCAUUUAUUUCUCCAAAUUAAUGCACACAAUCGUGGUUACGUCAGUUGGGAUUGUGGAAAACCCGAUGAACUUUUGAACGAGGCUUGUCUUAAAGGGUUAUUAUGCGGACAACAUAUUAACCCGACUAGGUUUGACCAUGAUGCAUGCACAACUAAUCAGAGUAAGGCUGCUAUAGAGGCCUAGACUGGGACCCUCAAGCGGAAAACUUGAGGGGGAAAGGCACGGAACCGUCGAACGCACCGCUGAUCGACUAGUUUUACCGUAAAUACGCCUUUCCGAAUUUAAAGGUUGAUAUAUAAGAAGAGCGCAAACACUCAUCAAGUGUUUCUAUAGGAUUGAUUAUGCACAAGUGGAAUAUGAUGUUGAGCAUGAUUUAUGCAGCAAUAAAUAGCAUGUUGUCAAGUAUUUGCACGUAAAAAAUGAUAAAUGCAGUAUUUAAAUAAUUAAAAGAUAGUUACAAAAAAAGAAAACAAAGAGACAAGUCGGUUUCAGGAAAAUAAAGAAAUCAUAAAUGCUUGAAAAUAGACAGUUAAAUUCAAAUAAGGGGAAAUGGUACGUGGGAUAGAUCAUGCUUGGACUAAUUCACAAAAAUAACUUCGUUAUAGUAAGAGCCUAAAAUAUCCCCAACAGAGUCGCCAUGCUGUCGCACCCCCUUUUUUCCCUUUACGGGGAAGUCCGGGUUUCGACAUUCAUGGGGGAACAACUCGUUUCCUUUUGGGAACUAGGUAUUUGAAGAGUCCCCACCUAACGGAUUAUGGUGCGUUACGAAACCUAGAGCGAUUAACUCUUGUAACUAGUUUGCAUUACCAGUGAUUAGGGUAAGGGCUCAAAAUAACCUUGAGGAGAAGGUGUUAGGCAUCCCUUGCUGUCCACAAUGGUGGGUCUCGGCCGAACUUAAACUAUAUGAAUUAAUCAAUCAACAAGUAAGCAAGUAUUUGCAAAUAAAGUAGCUUUCCCCAUCUAAAUGCAUAUAUAAUUAAGGAAGUUCAGAUAAUGAAGGUAAAGAGGUUUGGAAAGCUUACACAUGUAUAUGUAAAGAAAAGGAAGUUUAGAGAAUUUAAACACAUAAGGGAAUUGGGAAAGGGAAGUCCUAAUUUAAUUAGCCUACAGGAUCAUACCCAUGCAAUGCCCGGUAAUCACUCCUCAAUGAGAGGGGCUAUACGUGACAUUAGUGCGCAUGUCAUCAUAUCCUUUUACUACCCAUUACCCUCCCCUUAGCGGUUAUAUAAGCGAGUUUAAUUAAUGACCUCUAAGGGUGCUGCUACCCGUCCCUUCCUUAUGGUCCUGGAGGAAUUUAGGACCUCUAAAUCUGGACAGUUAUAGACAACCUAUGGUUUUUAAAGGUUAAAAAUCUAGGAAACAAGAAAACAACAUGUAGGACAAGCAAAUAGGGACAAACAGUUAGAAGGCUCAUAUUUACCUCUGCACGUAUAUAGGCGAACAAACAGCACGUCUAAAACACAGAUUGUAAAGAAGCUCAAAAAUCCUAAGAACAUGAUAUCUAGAUGAAUGUUACAGAUUCAGGAUAUGCAUAAAGAAAGUGGCAGAAUCCUAACAAGUUUGCCUACUGGUUUUACAGCUUGUUAAGCCUGGAUGAUUUCACAUAUAAACAGAACUGGUUUCAUAGUUACUUAACGUCCUAAGGCUUGCCUAAGUGUGUAUAUGCAGUCACAAUUCUGGGAAACAUUUUGAAGUUCUUCAUCCUAUAGGCAUGCUUUCUAGUGACAUUUAAGAAGUCACUGCAUGGUGUUCCCGUUUUAGCACUUAAUGCACACGGUAAUACCCUAUGGACAUGAGUUCUAUCUCUAAUGAAUGAAACUGUUAUUAGUUUUGUUAGACACGCAUACUAACUGAGAAAGUAUGACCACCAAUUAAACCUACAUGCAUGAUUUCUAAAGAGACGGAUUUGAAUAUAUGUUGUAAUGAAAGUUGAACCUUAGUUAUUUUAUUCCCUAUAGGCAUGACGUUUAAUCAUGUAAAGCAAAGCAGGAAGAACUUAAUUCACCCAAAGCAAACCCUAUAGGCAGGUUAUCUAACAAAACACAUUUGAACCAAAGUAAAUCUUAUAGGCAUGUUAUCUACCCAGCUUUACCCACAGUACCAUAUAACUACCCUCCCUUUUCACUAGUCACCCCAAUAUCUAUUUACAAUUAAUUAUUACAGACCAAUAAUUGAAUAAAAAUUCAUAAAUAGAAUAUAAAUUAAGCUAUAGGGAGACUGAAGUAGGCCCAAAGCAAAUCCUGGUGUACCAGGCCUCCAGUAGUCUCACAUGCCCAAGGUUUCAUUGCCAAUUUCAUGUCCAGGUGUGUCAGAGUUUCCUAAGGACCUCAAGGAUCCUGGGCAGUGCUCACACCCAGACUUUCUCAAAUAAGGACUGAUUAUGUGCAGUAUGGAAGAGCCAUCCCUGGUAUGCCAGAGUUCAGAGAGAUCUCAAGGAUCUCUAAGCAGUACACAUAUCAGGGGGGCAUGACUUAAUAAUCUAAGAGUAAGUGAGAGUGCAUAAUUUGAAAAGGGUUUUGGUAAACAACAUAGAGAGGACUCUUAGAGGUGAAAAGAUUUUCUGAAAACCAGUACUAAUUUGGUGGUAAAAUAUCUUGAGGAAAGUAUGAAAACACUUUGAAAUCAAAACACAAAUCACAGAACAACCAUAUUCAGAAACAUUUGGCAAGCAGGUUCCACACAUGGAGAGAGGGGUUGGGGACACAUAGAGCACACCUUAGUGUAUAAUGGAGCAUAGAAGUAAACAUAUGUACAGAAUUACUAAUUUAGUUACAAGGGUAGGUGAUUGAGACAUGGAGCAAAGAUGUUGAGAACACAUAAGCCUCAAACAAACAACUAUAGAGACUAGAUGACUUAGUAAAGUAGAGUAGGAAAUGACUUAAAUGAACAGACUAGGCAAAACACCACACAAGCAUUUAUAAUGUGGGCAUACUAAUCACACACUGAAUAAAACAAGAUUUUAGACAUGCUAGAUAAACAGUAGACAUGUAAGCAUAGUUGAGACAUGCUAAUCACAUAUUGAACAAGGAAGCAGUAGGCAUGCUAGAUAACAGUAGACAGGCAAGUAGAGUUGAGACAUGCUAAUCACAUAUUGAACCAGACAAUUUAGGCAUGCUGGAUAAACAGUAAACAUGAGCAGGAAUGAACUCAUAACUGAUGAACUAAGGCAGUAAUGAAACACAUAGGGUUUAGAUUCUAAAAUUUAAUCAGAGGCAUACCAGUUAAGGGAAAGAGAACACAAGAUGUAAGACAGGUGUUGUGCAGUUUCUAGCCUUGGUUUACAACCGACAAGACUAAUGAAUAUCACAAGUAACAGAAAAAAUAGAGAGCUUUUUAGAGUGUAAGAGUAACGGUGAACUAAUGUUCGUCUUAAACUGAGAAUAGAGAAGAGUAUAUAUAGCAGUUUAGGAGCGGAGCGGAAUAAGGUAAAAUAAAUCAAAACUCAGCAAUCAGGGAAAUUACAAGAUCAAUCACACACGCAAUCAGCGUAGUCUUCCUUUAAUUAAGGAUAAUUACUCAACGGUUAAAGGACAGGAGUCACUUAAGGAAAUAAAAUCAAAUCAAACCUAAGUAAAGAGGUAGAAAACAAGAGUUUAAUUAAGGAAAUAAUCGUGAUGAAUCAGUAACAUUACAGGCAAUAAGGUAAUAAGAAUAAUUAAAGUCGUAAAUAAGGGAAUGAAUCACGAAUCAACACAUAAUUUUUAACCAAGCAAAUCAGUAAAUCAAAAAUCCAAAAUAGUACUGAUUAAGGAGAGGAAAAAUAUCAGUUUCCACAAAUAGAUGAGUAGGCUAAAUAAAACUUCAUAAACAUACAUAAAUUAGCCAAGAGAUCGACUCAGAAACCCUAGUAGAGAUGAACUAGGGCAAAAGUCACAAGAUACUGAAUUAGACUAAGAAAAAUCAUGGAAGUCAAAGCACAAAUAUAAACAAUGUAACAAGUAACACGGCGAGACUCAGAAUCAAAGCAAAAUGUCGAAAAAGGUUGGGGUUUCAAUAUAAACUAGUGAGGGUUGAAGAAAACUCUACGAAAUUAGUCAAAAACACAUGAAAAUAGAAGAUUAAAUACUUAAAGUCAGUAAAACAUUUUAAAGAAAAACGGUUUUCAGGAAACCUUAGUUUAAGAAAAUGGAAAGCCACUCGUAAAACCAGAAGAUUUUCAUAAAAAACAAAGUGAAGUGAGUUCGAUUCAUCUCAGAUCUGGACAAAUCUGAGAAGAUCAAAGGAUAAAAAAUUAGGGUUUUUUUAGAAAGGCAACAGAGACGAGCUUAGACUUAGGAAACCGUGGAUUCAAGACGAAAAAUGAGAAAGAUCUUACUCAAGGUCAAGCCAAACAGCCUGAAACGUGCAAGAAAACCCCAAGGUGUAAACAGACCGCCUAGGUCCCUUGAGGAUCUCCUUAAGGAUCCAAAAAAUGGAGACACCAUAGCAAGCAGGAGGCCAUUAGAGGCCUGAGGUGGUAAAGAGCCCCCAUAAGAGGGCAGUAGAUGAGUGACGGUGCCUGAAGAUUAGGGUUUAGGUAGAGAGCAGUUGAGAGAGGAGGGAAUAGAUGACGGCGGGGAAGGGGUGGGAAAUGAUUAGGUUAGAAAGGGGUAUAUGGGUUUAAUUAAGGUAAGGGGAGAUCUGGACCGUUGAUCAAAAUGAUCAACGGCCAAGAUAGGCCGGGUAUUGGGUCGAGUAAGCUUAAAUUGGGUUAGGGUCAGAUGGGAUUUAGGCCUGGUUAGAUUUUGGGCUAAUGUGGGAUUAAAAAUUGUACUGUCUAAUUGGCUGGGUACAAAUGAAUGGGGCUAUUUGUUAAAUACAUAUUUAAUCGCUAAAAGAGUUUUUAAAAAUACUUAAUACAUUAUAAAAAUGAUUUCCAUGCCUGGAAAUGUUUUAAAAUAGUUACUUAAUAUUUUAAAAAUAUAAAAGGUUGUUUUCUGGUAAAAUAAUGUAAUAAUGCGUGCGUGGGCUAUAAUUGCAACCUAAAAAUACAAAAGUGGCUAUUUGUGCAAUAAUUGAAACUUAGUAUAAAUGUGAAUGAGAAAAUUAAGCCACAAAAAAUUAUUAUAAAACUAUUUGUGAUGCAAUCAAUGAUUGUUUUAUAAAUAAAAUGUUGGGAUAAAUUAAUAAAAAUAUUUUAAAAAUACAGAAAUUGUAUGAAAAAUACUACAAUUGAUGCCAAGGCAUAGUUUUAAAACUAUUAUGGGGAAAAAUUGGGUAUCAACAUCGGGUGGCUUGCUUCAGCGGUUAGAUAUCCCAGAGUAGAAGUGGAAGCGAAUCAUCAUAGAUUUUGUAGUCAGACUCCCACGGACUUUGAAGAAAUUCGAUGCUAUUUGGGUGAUUGUGGAUCGGCUGACCAAGUCCGCGCACUUCAUUCCUGUGUUCACUACCUAUUCUUCAGAGCGGUUAGCAGAUAUUUAUAUCCAGGAGAUUAUUCGCUUGCAUGGUGUCCCAGUUUCCAUCAUUUCAGAUAGAGGUACUCAGUUUACAUAGCAGUUUUGGAGAGCCGUGCAGUGAGAGUUGGGUACUCAGGUUGAGUUGAGCACAGUUUUUCACCCUCAGAAGGACGGGCAGUCCGAGCGUACUAUUCAGAUAUUGGAGGACAUAUUGCGCACUUGUGUCAUUGAUUUUGGGGGUUCAUGGGAUCAGUUUCUACCACUCGUAGAGUUCACUUAUAACAAUAGUUAUCUGUCGAGUAUUCAGAUGGCUCCAUAUGAGGCUUUAUAUGGGAGAUGGUUUAGAUAUCCAUUUGGUUGGUUUGAGCCGGGUGAGGCUAGGCUUUUGGGUACAGACAUGGUACAUGAUGCUUUGGACAAAGUGAAGGUGAUUCAGGAGCGGCUUCGUACAGCGCAGUCAAAACAAAAGAGUUAUGCGGAUAGGAAGGUUCGUGAUGUGUCUUACAUGGUUAGGGAGAAAGUUCUACUGAAGGUUUCACCCAUGAAGGGAGUUAUGAGAUUUGGGAAGAAGGGUAAAUUGAGUCCUCGGUUCAUUGGGCCUUUUGAGGUGCUUUAGAGGAUUAGGGAGGUGGCUUAUGAUCUUGCUUUACCACCUAGCUUGUCGAGUGUGCAUCCGGUAUUUCAUGUUUUUAUGCUCUGAAAGUAUAUUGGUGAUCCGUCUCAUGUUUUGGAUUUCAGCACGGUGCAGUUA
RNAcentral lists this long non-coding RNA (11467 nucleotides) under Nicotiana tabacum (common tobacco). RNAcentral's name for it is "long non-coding RNA (NTAB_LNC009619)". Lineage: Eukaryota; Viridiplantae; Streptophyta; Magnoliopsida; Solanales; Solanaceae. The record is from RNAcentral.